ACUCCUACGGGAGGCAGCAGUGGGGAAUAUUGCACAAUGGGGAAACCCUGAUGCAGCCAUGCCGCGUGUGUGAAGAAGGCCUCGGUUGUAAAGCACUUUCAGUAGGGAGGAAGGUAGUGUAGUUAACACCUGCAUUAUUUGACGUUACCUACAGAAGAAGCACCGGCUAACUCCGUGCCAGCAGCCGCGGUAAUACGGAGGGGUGCGAGCGUUAAUCGGAAUUACUGGGCGUAAAGCGCAUGCAGGCGGCCUGUUAAGUCAGAUGUGAAAGCCCGGGGGCUUAACCUCGGAAUUGCAUUUGAAACUGGCAGGCUAGAGUCUUGUAGAGGGGGGUAGAAUUUCAGGUGUAGCGGUGAAAUGCGUAGAGAUCUGAAGGAAUACCAGUGGCGAAGGCGGCCCCUGGACAAAGACUGACGCUCAGAUGCGAAAGCGUGGGAGCAAACAGGAUUAGAU
RNAcentral lists this ribosomal RNA (453 nucleotides) under uncultured bacterium. RNAcentral's name for it is "bacterial SSU rRNA". It matches the Rfam family "Bacterial small subunit ribosomal RNA", at positions 335 to 783 of the family's 1533-position model. The record is from RNAcentral.